GACGUAGGGCGCGAGCGUUGUCCGGAUUUAUUGGGCGUAAAGAGCUCGUAGGCGGCUUGUCGCGUCGAAUGUGAAAUCUCAGGGCUCAACUCUGACAUUGCAUUCGAUACGGGCAGGCUAGAGUUCGGUAGGGGAGACUGGAAUUCCUGGUGUAGCGGUGGAAUGCGCAGAUAUCAGGAGGAACACCUAUAGCGAAGGCAGCUUGCUGGGACGUUACUGACGCUAAGGCGCGAAAGCGUGGGGAGCGAACAGG
RNAcentral lists this ribosomal RNA (253 nucleotides) under uncultured bacterium. RNAcentral describes it as "partial 16S ribosomal RNA". It matches the Rfam family "Bacterial small subunit ribosomal RNA", at positions 524 to 776 of the family's 1533-position model. The record is from RNAcentral.